GAACCUUCCAGGCAGGUGUGUUAGAGAAGGUAUGUAGGAAGUUGGCCACCAGGAACAGGACUGCUAUUGUUGUUUGUUGGGGCAGUACAUGAAUGACGCUGGGACACCAUCAUCUCCUCCUGGUGCGGCUCUGAGCUCAGGUGGCCAAUGGGACGAACGCAUCCAUCAUUACAGACAGUCUAUGGACCUCUAUGGCCCCUACAUGGAUUUUCAGAUAUAAAAAGCAUGACCUCCAGAACUACUUUGAUGCAUUCUCCUGUUUCCUGAGCCCAUUACAAUCCACUACAUAACCGCAGGGUGACAACAGAGCCCUGCCUGCCUGCUCAUCCAACUGUGCAUCAUCAGCACUAGUGUUACAGCUGAGCUAAAGUGAACUGAGCCCAGUCGGCACACAAACUCACACAUACGCACACACACACUUGUGCAGUGAUAUCAUAGCGGAGGCUGGUGGAAUGACACAGUUGUUGGGGUUGCACAAUUGCACUGGGCCAAACACAUAGCCCUGAGGGGCACCCUUCCCUGCAAGCAGAUGCCCUGGACGGAAUCACAGCAAUCAAUUGUACAGUAUGCUUACAUACAACACACACACUAAGAAUGUGACAUGCAUCUUCUUCCACUUAUCACACAGGAACUCCUGAAGGCACAUUUAGAGAUGAUGUAAUCCAGAUCCACACCUUUUCUCACGCACCACACAGUGUUUACAUGCACAUACUCUAGCUGCACACUCACACACAAGCGUUCAGGGGCUGGCCCCCCUCUCACCUGCACCUGCAUGAAGGAGCCCCUGUAGAAGCAGCAGGCAGCGGCUGACAGGGCACUCCACAGGCUGCAUCUCUCCGUCAUGGCUCCCGUCCUCCUUUCUUCAGCUCUUCCACCCCUGGAGUCCACUAGAAGCACCGGGUCAUGCCCCUAUCCCCUUGUGUUCACCAGAGCACAAACCACUGCCGCAACUGAUCAGUACUAUCACUGUUCCACCGGAGCCAGUGACAUCCCAGAUCUGCACCGGCUUCCUCUCUCUCUCUCUCUCUCUCUCUCUCAAAUC
This is a long non-coding RNA of Cyprinus carpio (common carp), 1042 nucleotides long. RefSeq lists it as uncharacterized. Lineage: Eukaryota; Metazoa; Chordata; Actinopteri; Cypriniformes; Cyprinidae. The record is from RefSeq and is a predicted model, not a curated record.